GCACUCCAGCUGUGGUGAAACUACAACUCCCAGCAUGCUCCAUUCAUUUCUGUGGAGUUCUGAGAACAGCUAAGCAAGUGUGCAUCUUGGGAGUCGUAGUAUUACCACAGUUGGCGUGCCGAAGGUUAGCCGUCACAGUAUUGUGGCUCAUGAACACGA
Molecule: long non-coding RNA, 159 nt
Organism: Bufo bufo (common toad)
Lineage: Eukaryota; Metazoa; Chordata; Amphibia; Anura; Bufonidae
Exons: 3
Source: RefSeq, a predicted model, not a curated record